UCAGAGUGAAGGGAAAUAUCCAAAAGGCCCUGGAGAACAGGUGACUGGUAACGAAGCCAAAGCAGGAUGAGGGGCCUGCCACCUGCACGGCACUGAGGUGCAGCGCUCAGGAGCCAAAUGGAAAUGUCGGAGAAACAUUGGAACCGGAAACCACGCGUCCCUGAGAAGGGGUUAAAUGAGGACCAUAAAACCACAAAGAAAGGAGGAGAAGAUGGCUGAACACCACCAGUCAAAACCGGUUGAAGGCAACACGGCAGUCUGAUUUGACCUGACAUGGACACCACAGCCCAUUAUGCGCUCAUUGUAAUAUAUUACCAUAUUAUAGAACACACCCACCGACGCCAUGACAGUUUACAACUGCCAUGGCAACAGCAGGACAUAAC
This 383-nucleotide long non-coding RNA is filed under the name Equus caballus (horse). Its description in RNAcentral is "lncRNA (ENSECAG00000056608.1)". The record is from RNAcentral. Lineage: Eukaryota; Metazoa; Chordata; Mammalia; Perissodactyla; Equidae.